RNAcentral lists this small RNA (28 nucleotides) under Bombyx mori (domestic silkworm). Its description in RNAcentral is "ovarian small RNA-20796". The record is from RNAcentral. Lineage: Eukaryota; Metazoa; Arthropoda; Insecta; Lepidoptera; Bombycidae.
UACCGUUGUUUAUGCCUCUUCCAUAGUG